Molecule: long non-coding RNA, 3198 nt
Organism: Mustela erminea (ermine)
Lineage: Eukaryota; Metazoa; Chordata; Mammalia; Carnivora; Mustelidae
Exons: 4
Source: RefSeq, a predicted model, not a curated record
CGUCUCUGGUCUGUUCCAGCCCUGGCCCGAGGCCCAUAGGAAAUGUGUUACUGUGUCUCCUUUCACGAGUGUCCUGCAAGGUUUUUACCCUUUCAAAAGCUCAUCUACAGAGGAGCCUGUGAAACACCAUACCCCACAGCUGUGCUCUUCCUGUCCUUUCGCUCCUGGGGACAUGUCAGCAGCAUUUCCCCAGUCUGAUGAGUUUCAGAGCCCGCGCUCUUUCUGCCUUGUUUCUUCUCAGCGGACCUACAAGUAGGGAGGAUUUAGCUUCCAUUUUGAAAUCCACAAUCCUGAUGAAAUGUGAUCGCUGGGAAAAAAUAUCUCAGGGACUGUUUAUUAGGGCCACCACAUUUCUGGCAUGAGAAACAGACUGCAAACACUUUGUUACUCUGGUAUUCCGGCUGCUAACACAGCAGGGUGUAAGGUCUUUACGUAAUCCCAAACCUCAGCCUCGAAGAGUUAAUGAUGUUACUCAUGCCACUGGGGCAUGAAAGAAAAGCUUGCAUUUUUGGGUGGUUAUUGCCUGCCCAGAGCAGUGGAAUGAGCCAAAAGGCUGAAGGCCAAGGGACGUGGGCCACCCAUGCAGCGAAAUAAUCCCCAAGAAAUGCACUGCCUGGAAUGGAAAUGAGAGGAAAGUGAACAGUCAUUCCAGGGCAUCUACUGAACGUUACCGACAGUCAUUCAGUCUAAAGUCGGCCUGAUUCUCAACACUGCAAAUCUCAGAUCUGGGAUAUAUUACAUAGAUCACAGGAAACGAUUGAAAUCAAGCGGUCGGGGCCUGUUCCUGUCAAGCUCUGGGUCGUAGGCAGUGAGCUCCGUUCUUAUUUCGGUUCCAACAGGAAUGAAUAAUUAAUAACCUAGUUUUGAAUGGAAAGUACAUUUCAAUGGAUGGGUAAUGCUUUCAGCAAGGCCUCUGAGGGUUAUUGUUUAUUUCCUUCUUUCCUGCUUUCCGAAGUAGGACCCUGGAUGAGAAGAAAGAAACAAUAUUCAAAUGUACGGUGGCCUACAUUUUUGACCCAUCAGAGACGCAUGUGAAUAAAGAAAAGCAGAAUUGAACGUUGACAUUGGCAUCCACCAUACACUAGACACUCUGUUCUGUGUCUUGUAAGCACUUUAAUGAUCUUCGUGGCAACAGUUUGGUACUUGGCAUUGGCCCAGUUUUUCAGAUGAGGACACUGGGCUCAGAGAGGUUAAGCAACUUGCCUGAAGUCACACAGCUCGCAGCUUCGAGAGCUGGACCGGGUAUGCCCGCCUUCAAAGCCUGGGUUCGUGCUCUUUCCGCCAUGACAUUUCGUAGACUCGCAGACCCACCCUGUUGGGAAUGACCUGGGGGUCAUUUAGGUGAGCCCUCGAAAUGAAGGACGCAUGAUUCUGUUCAUCUCCAUGACGCUGAAGGACAAACAAGUAGAAGUUGUGCCUGAAAUCCAAGCUGCGGCCUAGAAGAAAUGAGACCAAAGCUUCGGGCCGCAGACAGAGGGCAACGGACAAGUACCGGUGUGGGCAGGAUGGUCACAACGUUCCUAAGACGUUGGUCUUAAUAACGUACUGCCCACCUCCAAACCCAAGGAGCAGGCCAAAAAUCUUGGUUCUUGAAUGACUGUAAAGCACAGUGAUCUUCCAGACGAUCUACCUGAAGACAUGUAACGGAAGACAGGAGGAAACCACGGCAGGCAGGAGCCUGAGGGCUCAGACGCAUUUGAGCGCGGAGCUUCCCCUCGAAAGCAGACAGUGUGGCAGACGCAUCCUCCUGCACCGCACACGCAUGAGCCCCUUAGUACGGAACAAACGAGCCGUCCAGCCAGCUUACAUUAUCUUCUGUGUCUUUUCUUCUGUGGCCACAAGAACAGCUUUUCCCGUGACAUGAAAGAGGGGAGAGAGAGUUCCCAGCACCGGCCCCUGCAGCCCGACGGCCGGUGGCCUGGGUCAGUCCCUGAAUCUCUUGGUCUCGGCUCCCUCACCAGCGAUGACGUCUCAUCCUCUGGAGGAAGGUUAUGGGUAGAACUGUGUCCCUGAAGAUGUCAGGGACGUCAAAUGGGACUUGAGGUGCAAAUAGGGUCUUUGAUGAUGUAGUCAAGUCAAGACGAGCUCCUGCUGGACAAGGGUGGGCCUUGAAUCCAGUAGGACUGGAGUCCUUCGAAGGGACAGAGAAACACCCACCAAGAAGUAUGGCCAUCAUGUAGCGAGGGUUGCGCCCAUUACCAGAAGCCCCACGAGGUAAGGAAGAAUUCUCCACAGGCUACAGAGAGAGCAGGGUGCUGGCAACAUCUUGAUUUCAGACAUGUAGCUUCCAGAACCACAAGACGUUUCCCGGAGCAAGAGCAUAAGCAAUUUAUGCUGAAGUCUGGAAAAGGAUCCCCCGCCCCACUUAGAGGGCUCCUCUGUAGGAUCUUCUAGAUCCCUCCCAGCCUGGAGGUUCUGUGAGUCUAUGAAAUGCGCUGAUGAAGGAUAGCAAACCCCAAACCCAGGCUUUGAAGUCAGACAGACCUGGUUCCUGCUCCUCGCUCUCAUGUGCACCUGCUGUGUGACCUCGGGGAAGCAGCUGAGCCUCUCUGAGCCUAGGUUCAUCAUCUGAAAAACUGGGCCAGUGCCAACGGCCAAAUCACGGCUGGGAGGAUGAAGUGGAAAAAUAUUUAUUAAAACACACAGCAAGGACGGAAUUGGAAGAACAGCUCAGAACAUCGCUUGCUGGGGAAGCGGGAGGAGGCCUGCCUGAACCAGAGAGGACUCAGCACUGUGGCUGAGAGGAGCUACUUGGGUCUGCUCCUUUUCCAAGGCCUGGCCCUACUUCCUUUCUCGUCUGCCACCAUCGUGCUGUUCCUCCGAGGCUGCACAUCCCGGAAUGCGAAGAUUUUCCUGGGUUUUGCUGCCUCUUACUCGAUGGAACCUAUCCCAGCUCUCUAUGGAUUUUCUGACUGUUGCUCCUUCUUACUUGCUUAGUUCAUUCAUUCCACGAACAUUCUGGGGGGUCCACAGGGCACCAGGCCCUGUGCUAGGGCUCCCCAGCCCCUGACCCCUGUCCAUCUGCCCCAGGAUCCUGCUGCUGGCUCUCCCCAGGCUCCCGAAUAACCACCCACCUCCAAUUCCUCCCUUCCUCCCAUCCCCGAGGCGGGCUGCGCCACGGGGUACCUUCCCCCCCCCCGCCAGGAACAAAUCCUGACACUCUGCUGAUAUUUGUUGAUUAAAUGAACACAUAGAAAA